This 412-nucleotide ribosomal RNA is filed under the name Podocarpus milanjianus. Its description in RNAcentral is "SSU rRNA". It matches the Rfam family "Bacterial small subunit ribosomal RNA", at positions 9 to 320 of the family's 1533-position model. Lineage: Eukaryota; Viridiplantae; Streptophyta; Pinopsida; Araucariales; Podocarpaceae. The record is from RNAcentral. RNAcentral also lists the same sequence under 1 other name.
GAGUUUGAUCCUGGCUCAGAACGAACGCUAGCUAUAUGCUUAACACAUGACAAGUCGAACGUUGCUUCCGUGCUUCCCGGGCAGAAGGGUAAUGUUGGCCAUGAAGAGAAGCGCCGGGGGAUUUCUGCGCGGUUCAAUUACUAUUAUUAGGGCGCUGAAAUCGAGAAUAUACGGGGCUCUCGCUCCCCGAGUAGGGAACAGUUGAGAACAAAGUGGCGAACGGGUGCGUAACGCGUGGGAAUCUGCCGAACAGUUCGGGCCAAAUCCUGAAUUCCCAUUCCGCGGGUGGGAAUGAAAGCUCAAAAGCGCUGUUCGAUGAGCCCGCGUAGUAUUAGGUAGUUGGUUAGGUAAAGGCUGACCAAGCCGAUGAUGCUCAGCUGGUCUUUCCGGAUGAUCAGCCACACUGCCGACU